UUUCAGGUUGUCCUUGGCCAAUCAUCUUGCUCGGCCCAUGUUGGUCCUGACUCAGGGCCCUUCCUGGCUGCGCGCAUCUCUCAGCCAAGGUGGAUUCAGGUGUGAGAGUUUCAGUGACGUCGGCAGGACGGUUGUGGGCUGUCCUCUCCUCUCUCCUUUGGCUUCUCCUGAAUUCUUGUGGUUAGUUUUCAGCGGCAGCACCAUGUUCCUUAUCAGGACUUCUGCUUGUGGUCUGGUUCUUAUCACCCCUGGCCAAGGUGGGAGGUUUUGGUCCACGGUUCCCUAACACGUGGAGACUGCUGGCUUCUUUUCCAAGAUGAUGCAGCAAUCUUUGAGAUUGCAAGAACCACGCACUAGGGGCUAUUUCUCUUUGCUUCAUAACGUUGAGGGACUUCUCAACCUCAUAAGAGUGAGAUGUUCACUCUGGAAUUCUCUCACGGGACUCUUCAAUUAAGUUGCUGUGACAUUCAGUACAACCCUAGUGAUUUAUGAGAACUCAGAGUAUUCUGUGAAUAGCCUAGAAAUAUCUCCAUGCAAUCAGAGUUUUCAUGACAGACAGCAGUAUAUAGUCUGGUCCCUCCAAGUCCUCUGGGCUUUGGCUGCAGUAAAGUGUUUCUCCAGCCUGACGCCCCCAAAGCACACAAGACAAUGGUUCCAUAAAAUGCAGAGCUGGGCACCCAAGUAGAUAGCAAGACCGCAAAAUCCGACGGCUUUGAAACCUACUCCGGCACAUUCUCACAUUCCAAUAUUUUACAGACAAGGGUAAUGAGCCCAAGAAUUACCGCCCUCCAGCUUCAGGGGAGUGAAAAAUGAAGGGUUGUUUUCCAAGUAAUGUGAGGCCAGACAGCUGGCUCAACAGUCAACAGUGCCAGGGCCUCUCCGGAGGCCCACGUCGGCCCCCACCUCCUUCCCACCAGCAAAUGUCAUGGUGCCCCCCGAGCCAGGGAAAUCUGUCCUUCUGCAGGAUGCAGAACUGCAAGAGGAAAGCAGGUUUUCCUGACUUGUGGUUUCCGAGGCUCUUAGAAUGUUGAAUGCAGCCUGUGCGUUGGCAGCCGAAGAACUCGAGAGAAACCACGGGGUUGGAAUUGAUUAGUUCCUGUUGGUCCCCCUCUUCCGCCAAUAUCAGUACCUGUCUCUUGAUAAAUAGACACGUGAACACACUCCAAACACCGGGUCCUCGACAGCAAGCAAUAAAAAUGUGCCUUGACCC
Non-coding RNA from Sus scrofa (pig), 1210 nucleotides. NCBI's taxonomy places the organism in Eukaryota, Metazoa, Chordata, Mammalia, Artiodactyla, Suidae. The record is from RefSeq and is a predicted model, not a curated record.